This 258-nucleotide ribosomal RNA is filed under the name Triticum aestivum (bread wheat). RNAcentral's name for it is "partial small subunit ribosomal RNA". The record is from RNAcentral. Lineage: Eukaryota; Viridiplantae; Streptophyta; Magnoliopsida; Poales; Poaceae.
AUGCCCAUGACUUCAGUCCUAGCAUGUCGCAUGCCACAGCUUCUGCCACCUCAGUAUCUUCAACUUGUUGGAGUACUGGCCAACCUCAUGGAACCACAGCAUGGUUCUUCCAUCCCACCCUUUUCUUCUCAAGGAAACACACAUCAGUAUUCUUCAUAUGGUGGUGGAUACCAGAGUGGUAGUACAACAAAAAAGAUUGAUAUCCCAAAUGGAAGAAAUCAUUAUCUUUUGAAAGAUUCAAGGACGUUCGAGGAGUGA